Molecule: ribosomal RNA, 550 nt
Filed under: uncultured bacterium
Lineage: Bacteria
Description: bacterial SSU rRNA
Rfam family: Bacterial small subunit ribosomal RNA
Source: RNAcentral
AGAGUUUGAUCAUGGCUCAGGACGAACGCUGGCGGCAUGCCUAAUACAUGCAAGUCGAACGCUUUGAUUUCACCGGGUGCUUGCACCCACCGAAGUCAAGGAGUGGCGGACGGGUGAGUAACACGUGGGUAACCUGCCCAUAAGAGGGGGAUAACAUUCGGAAACGGAUGCUAAUACCGCAUAUUUCUAAACGUCACAUGACGAAUAGAAGAAAGGUGGCUUCGGCUACCGCUUAUGGAUGGACCCGCGGCGUAUUAGCUAGUUGGUGAGGUAAUGGCUCACCAAGGCGAUGAUACGUAGCCGACCUGAGAGGGUGAUCGGCCACACUGGGACUGAGACACGGCCCAGACUCCUACGGGAGGCAGCAGUAGGGAAUCUUCCGCAAUGGACGAAAGUCUGACGGAGCAAUGCCGCGUGAGUGAAGAAGGUUUUCGGAUCGUAAAACUCUGUUGUUAGAGAAGAACAAGGAUGAGAGUAACUGCUCAUCCCCUGACGGUAUCUAACCAGAAAGCCACGGCUAACUACGUGCCAGCAGCCGCGGUAAUACGUA